RNAcentral lists this transfer RNA (71 nucleotides) under Mus caroli (Ryukyu mouse). RNAcentral's name for it is "tRNA (MGP_CAROLIEiJ_G0000160.1)". It matches the Rfam family "tRNA". From Rfam's summary of the family: Transfer RNA (tRNA) molecules are approximately 80 nucleotides in length. The record is from RNAcentral. Lineage: Eukaryota; Metazoa; Chordata; Mammalia; Rodentia; Muridae.
UAGAUUGAAGCCAGAAAUAGAAUGUUUAGUUGUUAACUAAAUUUUUGUAGGUUUAACUCCUGCCAAUCUAG